GAUGAACGCUGGCGGCGUGCCUAAUACAUGCAAGUCGAGCGAACGGACGAGAAGCUUGCUUCUCUGAUGUUAGCGGCGGACGGGUGAGUAACACGUGGAGAACCUACCUAUAAGACUGGGCUAACUUCGUGAAACCGGAGCUAAUACCGGGUAAUAUUUUGAACCGCAUGGUUCAAAAGUGAAUGACGUACUUGCCGACACUUAUAGAUGCAUCCGCGCUGCCUUAGCUAGUUGGGAAGUUAACGGCUUACAAAGGUACCGAGGCAUAGCCGACCUGAGAGGGUGGUAGGGUACACUGGAACUGAGACACGGUCCCGACUCCUGAGGGAGGCAGCAGUAGGGAAUCUUACGCGAGGGGCGAAAGCCUGACGGAGCAACGCCGCGUGAGUGAUGAAGGUCUUCGGAUCGUAAAACUCUGUUAUUAGGGAAGAACAUAUGUGUAAGUAACUGUGCAGAUAUUGACGGUACCUAAUCAGAAAGCCCCGGCUAACUACGUG
Molecule: ribosomal RNA, 497 nt
Filed under: uncultured bacterium
Lineage: Bacteria
Description: partial 16S ribosomal RNA
Rfam family: Bacterial small subunit ribosomal RNA
Source: RNAcentral